AGAAAUAUGAAGUUCGAAUUUGGACUGUUGAUCUUAAUGAAAGUUGUAGUUCGUCUCGAUACGAGUUCGUAGGUGCAAACGGUUCGCAAAUCCGAGUUCGGACGAGGAAGAUAUGGCCGAAACAAGAAAGUCGCGCGCAGCAGUGAAUAGUGCCCGACGGGAAUUUUCGAAUUUUCGGGAUUUUGCGGGAUUUUCGGAUUUUAUCAGUAUUUUCGAGCUCUGUACUGUAUUUAUCUCAUGUGCCUAUAUAUAGGUCCUUU
This 260-nucleotide long non-coding RNA is filed under the name Salvia miltiorrhiza (redroot sage). RNAcentral's name for it is "long non-coding RNA (SMIL_LNC012666)". The record is from RNAcentral. Lineage: Eukaryota; Viridiplantae; Streptophyta; Magnoliopsida; Lamiales; Lamiaceae.